Molecule: long non-coding RNA, 7011 nt
Filed under: Homo sapiens (human)
Lineage: Eukaryota; Metazoa; Chordata; Mammalia; Primates; Hominidae
Description: HSALNT0163299
Source: RNAcentral
CCAAUUCAAACAAGAACUGUUUGGCUUGUUUUAAAGAAGCCUUUGGAAAACUGCUUUGAGUUGCCAUUUGUCAUUGCCACCAAAUCCUGGGGAAGUGGGGGGUGAAACUGCAGUGUCAUUCCUUAGCCCAUCUCCAGGAGCUUUUCUUAUUUGUUCUUUCACACAGAUCAGAAGGUCCAUGUGGAAUCUUCUUGGAACCGAAAUCGCCGGCGCAAGAAGGGCAGAUGAACAUUUUUUAAUUGAAAAGUAAUACGGUUUAGCAGCUUCCAUUUCCCUUUGAACAGAAGACUUUUUUGAAGUUUUGAUUAAUAGGGCACAUUACUCAAGCCGAGCUUUCACUCGCCAUCCACCACUGCUGUUUGCCGCCAUCGCAGACCCGCCACUGACUUCCACCCCUCCGGAUAUGGCAGGAUGUCUUCUGUGCUCCUGAUCCAGCAAGGCGCCCAUUGCUGCUCCCAAUCGGGCUAAAGGCUCCCCAUUGUUCCUGCGUGGCUAAGUGCCUGGGUUCUCCUAAUCGAGCUGAACACUAGUCGUUGGGUUCCAUGGUUCUCUUCUGUGACCCACAGCUUCUAAUAGAGCUAUAACACUCACCGCAUGGCCCAAGGUUCCAUUCCUUGGAAUCCAUGAAGCCAAGAACCCCAGGUCAGAGAAAAAGAGGCUUGCCACCAUCUUGGAAGCAGCCCACCACCAUCUCGGGAGCUCUAAGAACAAGGACCCUCCCAGUAACAUUUUGGUGACCAUGAAGGGACAUCCAAAGUGAUGGGAAGCAUUCCCCCUAAGGCAAAUGCCCCUAAGAUGUAUUCUGGAGAAUUUGGCCCAGUCAGAGUAUCAAGCUGAGCUUUCACUCGCCAUCCACCACUGCUGUUUGCCGCCAUUGCAGACCUGCCACUGACUUCCACCCCUCCGGAUCUGGCAGGAUGUCUGCUGUGCUCCUGAUCCAGCGAGGUGCCCAUUGCCGCUCCCGAUCGGGCUAAAGGCUCACCAUUGUUCCUGCAUGGCUAAGUGCCUGGGUUCUCCUAAUCGAGCUGAACACUAGUCGCUGGGUUCCACGGUUCUCUUCCGUGACCCAUGGCUUCUAAUAGAGCUAUAACACUCACUGCAUGGCCCAAGGUUCCAUUCCUUGGAAUCCAUGAGGCCAAGAACCCCAGGUCAGACUACAAGAGGCGGGCUGCCAUCUUGGGAGCAGCCCGCCAUCAUCUUGGGAGCUCUAAGAACAAGGACUGACGCCCACCCCCCCCCGCCCCAGUAACAAUUGCAUAGUUACUUCUGCCAAAGUAAUCAAGGUCCAAGAAAGGGUAUUCUAUAUAGAAUUCUGAGUGACUUGCUUGUCACUUUUGAGUGUGUGUGUACUCUUCUUAAUAUGGAAAACAAACCUCCCAUCCCUUGUUUGAAUUUAAACAUCAAUAAAUUAAUGACAAUAAUUCCACUUACAUUUGUGUAGAGCUCUACAGCUCUUUAAAGAGAACUAUGGAGGAAAGUUGAGCAAAAGAUACUAAGAAAGAACAGCCUGGCAGAAAGUAAGAGAACACUAAGGGAAUGAUGUCAAAAGACAAAUGAAGAAGGAGAAUCAAAUAUUGCAUAGAUGGCUUUAGGGAUGUGGACCAAUAAAAGGUUACAGAGUUUGGAAAUUAAGAAAUCAUUGAUGAUCUUAAGAACCAUUUCAGUGGAGGGGAGUGAAAUGUUGGAUGCCAAGUACAUUUGGUUGAGAAUUUAAUGAGUAGCUAAUCAGAAUAAUAAGUAUUAGACAAUAUCUUCAAGAUGUAAAAAGAUACAGAGAGAAAUAAAAUAGUAAAUAACUUGAAGGGUGACCACUGGAACACAGAGUGGAAAGAAAUUAGUUGAAAGGAUGGGUGAACAUUGAAUGAGGUCAUAGGCCUAGGAUGAGGAGGAAAUAUAAAGAAAUUUAAUGAGAAUUAGAUAAGAAAGAAUAUGAAAAAUGAAGCAAAGUUUGGGAAGAAGAAAGGCCAUCCAAGGGAUAAAGCACAUAUAAGAAAAUCCUGGAAUGCAGUAUUGAAGACAAUAAGGAAGAAAGCCCACACCCUUUCUUAAUAGGGCCUGUCAGGGAAGAAUGAUUGUCAGCACAGCUAAAAGGAAACAUAUCUAAGGCUCUCCUGGGGUAGGUAACACCCGGCCAUUUUAGCAGUUCCCAUUCAAUGCCCAUUUGAGAUGAUACAUGACACGUUUCAGAAGGCAGCUUAGAAAAGGAGGCCUUUUGGGAACUGAGCAAGUUUUUAAAAAUCAUUUUGCUGAAAAAUCAAUUAAGCAAAGAAUCAAUUCACCAAAUUUAUCAAUUCAUUAAAAAUGUUUUUCUCUUAACUAUUUACAAGUUUACAGCAAUUAGUAUUGAAUGAGAUUCAGCUGAUUUUUGAAGAUUGGGGGGAAGUUUUGGUUGACUAGUUAUUUUUUGUUCUUCACGCUACCAUUUUAAGGAAUAUUUACUCUAUUAAAAACUAAGUAUAUUAUGUCGCGCUUUAUGUAUAAUUCAAUAGCAGUAAUCAAAAUUUCAGUGCUACCUAUGGAGUUUUUAUUAUACUGACUCAAAUAUACACUGAAUAAGGCAUAUAAUAUCAGAUUAUACUGAUUCAAAUAUAUUUUACUUAUUUUUUGCCUUGCUCACCCUUUGUUAUAUUUAAGACUCUUUUGCCAAUAUAUCAAGUGGAAUAACCCAGUAAUACUGUUAUUAUAGCAAUUAGUGGCCAAAAUUUAACUUAUGUACAUCCCUUAGCUGUGUCACUUGGGCUAUUUGUGGCUGUGGAAGAGGCAAGUUUGAGAUUUGCUGCAAGAGUACCUGGGGCAGCAUCAGCCAUAAGGUCACUGGGGGACCCAUGAUUUCAAGGAUAGAAUGUGUAAUCAGCUUCCCAGAAAACCAGGACACCAGGUUACUAAAGCCCAGAAAAGACCGGAGCUGGAGUGACUCGUGGAGCACUGUUAGCUAACAUAUUAUUUGAUCUCUACAUCAUAAUUUUGUUUUUAGAUGUAAUAUACUUUAAAUUUAAAGUCCCAACCACACGAUCCUUUAUAAUAAUCCCAUCUGAGCAGCCUCACUUUCUUUUUCCUUCUUUGAAUGGCUUCAACCUUUCCUUUCUCUGCCACUGUCAACAAGUCUAUGCCUUCAGAUGCUUUCUGUAGUAGCAUCAACAUCUUUUCCUAAAAGACUGAUAUCAGAAUAAGUGAAUGCCAAAAUCAAUUUUAUUUGGGCCAGAAAUAAACCUCUUUAAUGAGAGAAUAACAAAUUGGAUUAUAUAAGCAUAUUUGUAGAGCCCUUUGGGGAUGGAAAAGGGUACCUUCUGGCCCAUUUCUUUUGAGCAUUGGCCCCAUGAGGAAGCUGGUGCAUGGCCUGAGUCAUUUUGCUGGGUCACACUCACAAAGUCAGCCACAAAGUAAGUAGGCAGGGCAGCUGUCCACAAUGCUUGGAAAACUGGAGUUGGAUUUCCCGUGCUUAAGUUCUGGUCAGUAAUAAGUUCAGCUCACUUAUUAGUAAAUAUUCGGCAAAUGAUUUAAUCUCUCUCUGCCUUUUUUUUUCAUUCAUGAAACUAGGUAAGAAUUCAGUGAGUUUACGUGUGUGUGUAUGUGUGUGUUUGUGUGUGUGUGUAUUUCAUGCUUAUGUGUGUGGCACAUAAUAGACACUGAAUACAUUUUAGUUGUUUUGUGCAUACUGGAAAACAGCUUAGACUCACACUUUACUUUGUAAGUUCUUCCCUUGUUGUUUUGCAUGAGGUAAGCCUAAAAAGUGGAAAUUAAGUUAAAUGCUAUUAUUUUUCUGAUAUAGGAUUUAUUUAUUCAUUCAAGAAAUAUUUAUUGAAGGCAUACCACAUGUCAUGCUUUGUGUUGAAUGCAUAAUGAAAUAAUAGAGGAAAAUAAUUAUAGUGUCUACCCUCGAGGAGUUUACAGUCUAGUAGGGAGGAGGUCAAACCAUAAAUAAAGUGCAGUUAGAAUGCAUGAGGUGAAUGAUGUGAAGGAAAAGAACAGAUGUAAAACAAAUGUAAAAUGCAAAGCUUCCAUCAGUUUAAACCUGUGCUUAUGAUAGUGGCAAUUGGAGUUACUGGUGGCAAGAAUACAGGUACUUUAUUCUCCUCUUCACUGAAGAAUAUCCUAGUAGAAAAUUAAUCAUGUCCAGAGUUAGUCUCUUAUAUAAUACAUUUGUAUCUCUAGAUGCUGAGGUUGUUAUAGUAGGAUUCACUUAUAUGACCGAAGAGUUAGCUAUUAAGCAGUGAAUCUUUCCUCAAAAGGAAAGUACAGAUUGAAAGAGAAGUAGGUAAUAUGUACCAUGAGAGAGGAUGCACUUUGAAAGAGGGAGAGAGGAAAUUGAGGAGAGGGUGGAAAGUCUCCCUCAGACUCCUCUCCAGGCUAAGUCUCCUCCAUCCGAGCCAUUUUUUUUUCCUUUUUUUUGAGACAGAGUCUCACUCUGUCACCCAGGCUGAAGUGCAGUGGCAUUAUCUCGGCUCACUGCAACUUCCGCCUCCCAAGUUCAAGCAAUUCUCCUGCCUCAGCCUCCCAAGUAGCUGGGAUUACAGGCAUGCCACGCCACACCCAGCUAAUUUUUGUAUUUUUAGUAGAGAUGGAGUUUCACCAUGUUGGCCAGGCUGGUCUCAAACUCCUGACCUCAGGUGAUCCACUAGCCUCAGCCUCCCAAAGUGCUGGGAUUACAGGCAUGAGCCACCGUGCCCAGCCUGGAGCCAUUUUUCUGUGCCGUGUUUAUGUCCUCAUGGACACCAAAGAGGGCUGAAAAGUGUACUCCUUUAAAGGGUCUUGGGUUCCUCCACACCUCUGACUCCUUCCAGUUUGGGCUUCACAGAGAUAACAUGACAAGGGAGGCAUAGAUCCCUUGGACAUAGUGGUGACAGGUUUUUCCAUUCCCAAAAGAGACCUAGAUUUGCACCAGCAGCAUUUGUGACCAGUUGUUUCAAUUUGCCUGGAACUGAGAUGUUUCCUAGAAUGUGAGACAUUCAGUGCUAAAACUGGGAUGAUCCCAGGCUAAUCAAGAUAGUUGGCCACGCUGAUGGCAGAGAAGUCUCACGAAAGCAGAUAACCUGAUCUGCUUUACGCUCUGGAGCAUCUCCAUUUUUGGGCCCCUAGUAAUGGAGUGUGGUGGUUAAAUAUGGGGGAUUUGGGGAUCAGAAAACAUGUAUCUAAAUCUGCUUUUCACCUACAAGCUGUGUAACUGUAAGCAUUUUACUGUACCUUUCUGAGCCUCUAUUUCCUCACCUGUAAAAUCAUGACAUACUUCACAGGUUUUUGUAAGGAUUAAGUAAAUAAUGAGUGCAAAGUGUUCCACACACCACCUGACACACCACACUGUCAGCACAUUCUGUGUGUUAGUCAUUAAUUUUACUACUUCGGUAGACCUUCAGCAAAUAUCUGUUACUUGGCUCUAUCAUGUUUCUGACAGUUACUAAUGUUUUUUUCCCUGGAAUUUGGGGGUUAGGGAGUAAUGAAUAUGACACCCCCAUUGCCUACCGCUAUAGACUGAAUGCUUAUGUUAUGUUCCCCCAAAAUUCAUAUGUUGAAAUGCUAACCCACAAUAUGAUGGUAUUAAGAAGUGAAGCCUUUAGAAGGUGAUUAAGUCAUGACAGUGGAGCCUCCAAGAAUGGGAUUAAUACCCUCAUAAAAGAAACCCCAGAGAGCUUCCUUGCUUCUUCUGCUAUGUGAUGACUCAGUGAGAAGACAGCCGUCUAUAAACUAGGAAUCAAGCCCUCGCUAGACAUGGAACCUGCCAGCACCUUGAUCUUGGACUUCUCAUCCUUCAGAACUGAGAAAAAUACGUUUCUUUUGUUUAUAAGCCACCCAUUCUAUGGUAUUUUGUUAGAGCAGCCCAGAUGGACUAAGACACCCACUCUCCCCAACCCAGACUACCUCACAUCACAGCUAUGAUCAUGCCUUCCUACGUUCUUUGGAAACUCAGUCAUAUCCCUUUGUUGUCUCCGUAUCUCACCAAGGAGUGUCUUGAGCAGAAUACUUCAUUGUCCCAGCAACAGACAGAGUCACAUUCUCUCCACCUCUCCUUCAUCCUGGGACCACCUUCCCAGGAAGACAGGGCUACCUCAUACUCAUUACUAUUGUUAGCGUGGAAAAUAUUUGGCUGAUUCAGCCAGGAUUCAGGGGGUAAGCAGAAAGGAGAGGAGCACACUGUGCUCUUUCAAGGGUGUAGGGAAACGUAUAGCCAGAAGCCAGGUCACAAUCUGUCAGGAGAGAGAGGUUGGGUUUCACUGGGCAGCAGGUUGGCUUUGAACCAAAUCCCAAAUAAUCAUUACGGCAAAGGGCUCACUGUAUAAAUGAAACAGCCAACAUAUAUUAUAUAAAAAGUAAGUCCAACGAGGAAGCAUUUUAGCUUCCCAAGUAAAAAGAUUUCUGGACUCCCAAGGGAAAGCUUAGGAGGUAUAGAAUGAAAGAUUUGGGAAAAGCACAGAAAAUGCAUUAAUGCUACUAUGAUUUUAAAAGAGUAGGGGAUUUCUUGGAGCAUUUUAAAACUACACUCAGUAACCCCACCAAAAUUCUGAGACACCCCCUUUGAAACACCCCCUCCAACACACAUACACAUGUCCCAUGAAAAUCUCUAGAACUGUGAUAUGUGAUUAUCCAUGGAGUGUGUCUCAUCCUCACAUCCAUGAUGCCAGUGGGGAAGCAAGACUGAGACUUCAUGGCUGGUGAAUAGAGCACUGGGCUAGGAGACCAGAGAUCUUCAUUUCAACCCAAUCCAUUUGUGACAGUGGCAAAUCAACCACUUCUUUGUUCUUCAGCUGCUCCAGCAGUAAAAGGAUCACAGCCAUUUCUGUUCAUUUCUCCUGCAGAGGGUACUUGUAAAAGGGAAUAAGAUCUCAUGUGUGGAGACACUCUUCAGAAGAUGAGAAUGUGUGCAUACCUUAUAUUAUUAAUAAUAAAAAUUGGAUUCAAAAAUUCUGCCUAGACACUUUUGUCAAACGGCCAGGCAUGUGUAAUUCCUCUGUAAUGAUACCAGUUAUUUGUACUACCUAGUCUUUGGAAAUUUGAAGGUACUUUUUUAAGCAACAGGAG